UGGCUCUUAGCUCAGCCAGGUAGAGCACCCGCCUCUUAAGCGGAUGUGCGCUGGUUCGAUUCCAGCAGGGCCAACCA
RNAcentral lists this transfer RNA (77 nucleotides) under Chlamydiota bacterium. Its description in RNAcentral is "Chlamydiae bacterium tRNA-Lys". It matches the Rfam family "tRNA". Rfam says of the family: Transfer RNA (tRNA) molecules are approximately 80 nucleotides in length. Their secondary structure includes four short double-helical elements and three loops (D, anti-codon, and T loops). Further hydrogen bonds mediate the characteristic L-shaped molecular structure. tRNAs have two regions of fundamental functional importance: the anti-codon, which is responsible for specific mRNA codon recognition, and the 3' end, to which the tRNAs corresponding amino acid is attached (by aminoacyl-tRNA synthetases). tRNAs cope with the degeneracy of the genetic code in two manners: having more than one tRNA (with a specific anti-codon) for a particular amino acid; and 'wobble' base-pairing, i.e. permitting non-standard base-pairing at the 3rd anti-codon position. The record is from RNAcentral. Lineage: Bacteria; Pseudomonadati; Chlamydiota.